Molecule: ribosomal RNA, 468 nt
Filed under: uncultured bacterium
Lineage: Bacteria
Description: partial 16S ribosomal RNA
Rfam family: Bacterial small subunit ribosomal RNA
Source: RNAcentral
GAUGAACGCUGGCGGCGUGCUUAACACAUGCAAGUCGAACGGAAAGGCCCUGCGCUUGUUGGGUGCUCGAUAGGCGAAGGGGUGAGUAACACGUGUGUAACCUGCCCUUGUCUUUGGGAUAACUUCAGGAAACUGGGGCUAAUAUCGGGGAGGAGCUCCUGCUGCAUGGUGGGGGUUGGAAAGAUUCGGCUGUUGGGGAUGGAUUGGCGGCUUAUCAGCUUGUUGGUGGGGUAGUGGCUUACCAAGUCUUUGACGGGUAGCCGGCCUGAGAGGGGUAACGGCCACAUGGGGACUGAGGUACGCACCAGACUCCUACGGGAGGCAACAGUGGGGAACAUUGCACAAUGGGGGGAAGCCUGAGGUAGAAAUGCCGGGUGCGGGAUGCCGGGUUUCGAGGUGUAAACCGCUUUCGACUGUGACGAAGCGUGAGUGACGGUAAUGGGUAAAGAAGCACCGGCUAACUACGUG